RNAcentral lists this ribosomal RNA (253 nucleotides) under uncultured bacterium. RNAcentral describes it as "partial 16S ribosomal RNA". It matches the Rfam family "Bacterial small subunit ribosomal RNA", at positions 524 to 776 of the family's 1533-position model. The record is from RNAcentral.
UACGAAGGGGGCUAGCGUUGUUCGGAAUUACUGGGCGUAAAGCGUAUGCAGGCGGAUCGAUAAGUCGGGGGUGAAAUCCUGAGGCUCAACCUCAGAACUGCCUUCGAUACUGUCGAUCUUGAGUCCGGGAGAGGUUAGUGGAACUGCGAGUGUAGAGGUGAAAUUCGUAGAUAUUCGCAAGAACACCAGUGGCGAAGGCGGCUAACUGGCCCGGUACUGACGCUGAGAUACGAAAGCGUGGGGAGCAAACAGG